Molecule: ribosomal RNA, 494 nt
Filed under: uncultured bacterium
Lineage: Bacteria
Description: partial 16S ribosomal RNA
Rfam family: Bacterial small subunit ribosomal RNA
Source: RNAcentral
GACGAACGCUGGCGGCGUGCUUAACACAUGCAAGUCGAACGGUGAAGCGCCUUCCUUUUUGGUGGGUGUGGAUGAGUGGCGAACGGGUGAGUAACACGUGAGUAACCUGCCCCCUUCUUCUGGAUAACCGCAUGAAAGUGUGGCUAAUACGGGAUAUUCUGGGUCUGUCGCAUGAUGGGUCUGGGAAAGAUAUUGUUUCGGUGGGGGAUGGGCUCGCGGCCUAUCAGCUUGUUGGUGGGGUGAUGGCCUACCAAGGCGGUGACGGGUAGCCGGCCUGAGAGGGUGGCCGGUCACACUGGGACUGAGACACGGCCACGACUCCUACGGGAGGCAGCAGUGGGGAAUAUUGGACAAUGCGCGCAAGCCUGAUGCAGCGACGCCGCGUGAGGGAUGGAGGCCUUCGGGUUGUGAACCUCUUUCGCCAGUGAAGCAGGCCUGCCUCGUUUGUGGGUGGGUUGAUGGUAGCUGGAUAAGAAGCGCCGGCUAACUACGUG